GUGAAUCAUCGAAUUUUUGAACGCAAAUUGCACUCUCCUCGGAGAGUAUGCCUGUUUGAGUGCCAGCCUAUAAAAAAUCGACAUCGUUGCUGUUUUGCGGUGGCGAGCGUCUGAAAUUGGGUCAUCUUAACUUUCUUGGUUUUAAGCGACUUAAAAUUUUCUUUUUGGUUCCAUGAACGUUUCUAAGAUUUUUUUCUUUACACGUUUAAGGUAUCGAUUUUUAUUAUUGAUGACCAUCAUAUCGGAU
This 247-nucleotide unclassified non-coding RNA is filed under the name Glomus sp. RNAcentral's name for it is "partial contains 5.8S ribosomal RNA and internal transcribed spacer 2". The stretch from base 1 to 65 matches the Rfam family "5.8S ribosomal RNA", at positions 84 to 154 of the family's 154-position model. Lineage: Eukaryota; Fungi; Glomeromycota; Glomeromycetes; Glomerales; Glomeraceae. The record is from RNAcentral.